GAUACUUUUAACAGUGAUCACGGGAUUGUGUUUCCCUGUCCUAAGAGGCACGCUUUCCCAACUGGUUGGAGCCGACGAACAAGGUGUUGCUUUGUCCUUCCUCGCUUGUGUGGAGAACUUCGGCAUGUAUGUCUCACCCAUAGCCGUCAACGCAGUUUAUAUGGCUACCGUAGCAUCUUACGCCCCACUUGUGUUCUUUGUGAUAGCUGGGAUCACUUGUGUACCGCCUGUGUUAUUCGGGAUUAUGCACGUCGUCAUUAAACGCUCGAUCGACCCACAGAUCUUGGCAUCCCACAGUGACUGACUGACCGUGAGCACACGUCAUUCAACCACGCUUGAAAGUGAAAUGACGUUCUUUAUAACUUAACCCCCAGUCACACAGCUACAAAUAUCCACGGUUUACCACGAAUCAAUCGAUCACGAUGAACCGCCGAGAUUCGUGGCCGAGAAUCGACUUUCUAAGAAAUGCACUACGGUUUCUAUGACGGAUAACCACGGAGGUACUAAG
This is a long non-coding RNA of Patiria miniata (bat star), 508 nucleotides long. RefSeq lists it as uncharacterized. The record is from RefSeq and is a predicted model, not a curated record. The transcript has 3 exons. NCBI's taxonomy places the organism in Eukaryota, Metazoa, Echinodermata, Asteroidea, Valvatida, Asterinidae.